Molecule: ribosomal RNA, 301 nt
Filed under: uncultured bacterium
Lineage: Bacteria
Description: partial 16S ribosomal RNA
Rfam family: Bacterial small subunit ribosomal RNA
Source: RNAcentral
CAGUCGCCGCGGGAAUACGGAGGGGGCUAGCGUUGUUCGGAAUUACUGGGCGUAAAGCGCACGUAGGCGGCUUGGUAAGUUAGAGGUGAAAGCCCGGAGCUCAACUCCGGAAUUGCCCUUAAGACUGCCGAGCUAGUAGGUGAGAGAGGUAAGUGGAAUUCCGAGUGUAGAGGUGAGAUUCGUAGAUAUUCGGAAGAACACCAGUGGCGAAGGCGGCUUACUGGCUCAUUCUAGACGCUGAGGUGCGAAAGCGUGGGGAGCAAACAGGAUUAGAUACCCCAGUAGUCCCUGUCUCUUAUAA